UAGAGUUGGAACCGGAAGGUUCCCAGAGUUAGAACCAGAGGGUUCACAGAGUAGGGUCUACGGACCCACAGAGUUAUAGCCUCGAGUGGCUAAUAUGUGUUAUGUGUGGUAUUUUGGGGAACUCACUAAGCUUUGUGCUUACAGUGUUGGUGUUAUUUGUUUCAGGUACUAGUGAUGACCGUGGGAAGGCGCCGGCUUGAUCAGUACACACACACGGGAUUUUUAUGAUAUGUGAUCUUGGGAUUCUUUGUAUGACAUGGAUUGGAGUUUCAAACAUUGAUGUUUUAUGAAAAUUAAAUGAAUAUGUUUUUAUAUUAUGCGAAAAAUUAUUUUGAAAUUUACGGUGUUACAAGUUGGUAUCAGAGCCUUGGUUUGAGGGAUUCGAGUACACCUUCGGGCGUAUUUGAACUCAAACUGAGGAUUUGAGAAGUAUUUUCAAAAAGAGUAAAAGAUUUUUGGAAAAACGCAGAGCAGAGUUGUGUGUACGAUCAGUCCGCGCCCGAACGGUGAUUUCCCAAAAUACCCUCAUGUUAUGUGAUAUUGAUAUUGAUAUGAUGUAUUCUCAUGCUAGAGUAGGCUAGGUACUCCUAUUAGGACUAGAGUGGCCUGAUUUGUGAUGCCUUAGCCUAGGGAGAGGUGAGCUGCUAUGAGAUGCUUGAGAGUGAGUAGGUAGCAGCGAGGGGCUUAUGAGAGAUCUGUUAGAGAGUGGAUUAUGCAUGAUAGAGUACUUGGAAUUUGGGAUCCGAAGAGGAGGACUUGGGGUGUAUUCUGAUACGGUGCGGACAGUAGUAUUGGGCCCGUACUACUGAAAGCACCGGAGCGGUGUACAGCCCAAGUAAGAAUCUUUGGAAUACCAAGGAUCAAGGAGGGAUGAGUUGUCGAGUGUGAGUAUGCUCGAAUGGAUUCUAAUUUAUCGUAUGUUGUAUUUCAGAGGUAGAUCAUGGUGAGGACACGUCUGAUGCCUGAGAGCAGUGGGGCCAGUGAUGAGGAGAUCCGCCGGAUCAUCCAUGAGGAGGUGGCUGCGGCCAUCAGGGCAGAGAUACCAGAGAUGUUCGGGUCUAUUAAGACCACGUUGAUUGAGACCUUCGACGAGCGUUAUGCCGCUCUUUCUGAGGCUGCUGUUGCAGCGGCCACCGCAGCUAUUGCUGCCGCGAGGCCGCAGGGUGGUGAUGCGUUGCUGUUCCGAGAGUUCAGCAACACAAAACCACCAGAGUUUGAUGGGACCCAGGACCCGGUGGCGGCUAUGAGAUGGAUUUCUGACAUAGAGGGGUGUUUCUUCACUUGCUCAUCUCCUGAGCAUUUGAGAGUUCGGUUCGCGCUGAACCAGCUUCGCUUGGGAGCGAAGGACUGGUGGAAGUUUGUGACGGCGCACUUUACGCCUGCUGAGCUUGCGGCAGUGACCUGGGAGAGGUUCACUGCCAUGUUCCGAGAUGAGUACGUUCCCCAGGUGGAGAGGGAGCGUUUGGCCCAGGAGUUUCUGACCCUCAAGCAGGGUACUGAGUCUGUUACGGUGAUUACCAGGAUGUUCCAUGAGAGGGCGAUGUUCUGCCCUGAGCACGUGUCCACGGAGCAGGCACGUAUGAGCCGAUAUUUGAGUAUCUUGAGGCGAGACAUUCGGGAGUUCGCGGCGAACUCCUCGUACCGGACAUUUGCCGAGCUUCAGGCAAAUGCCCGGAAGAGGGAGAUUGAGCUAGAGACUCAGGCCAGGGAGGAGGCGGAGUCUCAGGGGAGGGAUCGGCGACCGGCACAGUCUCAGCCGGCAGCCAAGCGGGCCAAGCCCGCUGAUCCCAAACCAGGGAGCCAGAAGGGCCGCACUUGUGGGAAGUGUGGCAAGGGUCAUGAUGGAGUCUGCAGAGCGGGAUCUUGCUACAAGUGUGGCAAGGAGGGGCACAUGGCCAAGGACUGCCCCAAGGGGUUUGCGGUGUGUUUUCACUGCAACCAGACCGGACACCGGAAGGCAGAGUGUCCGCAAUUGCGAGGAUCAUCUCAGGGAGCACCUCAGGGAUCUGCCCCUGCCGCCAUCAGAGCUACCGAGAGUCGGCCAGUGAAGGCCGAGGCGCCGAGGGCACGAGGGAGAGCUUUUCAGCUGACCGCGGAGGAGGUCCGCGCAGCGCCCGAUGUCGUGGCUGGUAUGUAUUCUUUCGUGUAUUUAUUUUGAUGUUGAGAUAUUAUGCUUAUAUUAUGUUAUGCGUAGGUACUUUUCUUGUGAAUUCUGUACCUGCCUUGGUGUUAUUUGACUCGGGUGCGAGUCGGUCUUUUGUAUCUUUGGCUUUUAGUCAGCAUAUCAGUGUUAGUCGUGAGGCGUUGAGUCGGCCUCUGAGAGUUUCCAUAGCUGAUGAGAGGGUGAUAUAUGCCACGGAGGUUCUCCGAGGUUGCGUAGUCGAGAUUUUCGGUGUUGAGUUCCCGAUUGAUCUGGUUCCUAUUGCGAUGGGUGAUGUCUGUGUCAUUGUGGGCAUGGACUGGUUGAGCAGAUUCGGUGCGGUUAUCGACUGCGAGCGACAGCUGGUGACCAUACGAGACCCUAGUGGGGGAGUUCUUUCGGUGUACGGCGAGGGUACACGUUCAGGAUCAGCGUUUUGUUCGGCCGCUAGGGCGAGGCAGUGUCUACAGCAGGGCUGUAAGGGUUUUGUGGCGUAUGUGAUGGAUACGCGGGUGGAUUCCGAGAGGCCGAGUUCAGUUGAGGAGGUUCCGGUGGUGCGUGAGUUCCCGGAUGUAUUUCCCGAGGAGUUGCCGGGUGUGCCUCCUGUGAGGCAAGUGGAGUUCAGUAUCGAUUUGGUUCCGGGGGCCGCGCCUAUCGCUAAGGUGCCUUAUCGCCUUGCACCUCCAGAGAUGCAAGAGUUAUCCUCGCAGCUUCAGGAGCUGCUGGGGAAGGGAUUUAUUCGGCCGAGCAGCUCGCCGUGGGGAGCGCCUAUCCUGUUUGUCAAGAAGAAGGAUGGUUCACACCGGAUGUGCAUUGAUUACCGGGAGUUGAACAAGCUGACGGUCAAGAACCGUUACCCGUUGCCGAGGAUCGACGAUUUGUUCGAUCAGUUGCAGGGAGCAUCUUGGUUUUCCAAGAUCGAUUUGAGGUCGGGAUAUCAUCAGGUGAGGGUGCGGGAUGAGGACGUCCAGAAGACAGCGUUCAGGACGCGUUAUGGGCAUUAUGAGUUUGUGGUGAUGCCUUUUGGGCUCACCAAUGCCCCGGCAGUGUUCAUGGAUCUCAUGAACCGAGUGUGUAGGCCGAUGCUGGAUCGGUCAGUGAUUGUGUUUAUCGACGACAUUCUGGUAUAUUCGAGAUCUAGAGAGCAGCAUGAGGAGCAUUUGAGAGAGGUUCUCGGAGUUCUGAGAUCGGAGAGGCUUUAUGCCAAAUUCUCCAAGUGUGAUUUCUGGUUGCGGGAGGUCCAGUUCUUAGGACAUCUCGUUAACCAGGAAGGGAUAUUGGUCGAUCCGGCCAAGGUUGAGGCGGUGAUGAGUUGGGAGGUGCCGAGGUCACCCUCCGAGAUCAGGAGUUUCCUAGGGUUGGCAGGGUAUUAUCGGAGAUUUAUCAAGGAUUUCUCUAAGAUCGCAGUGCCACUCACCAGAUUGACCCGGAAGGGUGUUGCUUUUUCAUGGGGCCCCGAGCAGCAGGCCUCCUUUGAGACACUUCGCCAAAGGUUGUGCGAAGCCCCGGUGUUAGCUCUCCCGGAAGGGAUGGAGGACUUUGUGGUAUACUGUGAUGCAUCGAUUUUGGGAUUGGGAGCGGUGCUGAUGCAGAGAGGGCAUGUGAUAGCAUAUGCAUCGAGGCAGCUGAAGCCUCAUGAGACGAGAUAUCCCACCCAUGAUCUAGAGUUGGGGGCAGUGGUGUUCGCCCUCAAGAUUUGGCGUCACUACUUGUAUGGGGUUCGGUGUACGAUAUACACGGACCAUAAGAGUUUGAAGUAUUUGAUGGAUCAGCCCAACCUAAAUAUGCGUCAGAGAAGGUGGUUGGAUGUGGUCAAGGAUUAUGAUUGUGAGAUCCUGUACCACCCAGGCAAGGCUAAUGUGGUAGCCGAUGCAUUGAGCCGCAGGGCGGAGAGCACCCCGCUGCGGGAGGUAUGUUUGAGAUUGACCGUGAUAGCUCCAGUGUUGGACGCCAUUCGUGGGGCACAGGCCGAGGCUGUGCAACCUGAGAUGCAGAAGAGGGAACGGGUUGUUGGUUUGGUUUCAGAGUUCGUUACCGAUGGUCGGGGGCUUAUGACAUUUCAGGGGCGUAUCUGGGUGCCGUUUGUGGGAGGAACGCGUACCAUUUUGAUGGAGGAGGCUCAUCGGUCGAAAUUUUCGAUCCAUCCGGGGGCCACUAAGAUGUAUUUGGAUCUGAGAAAGGAGUAUUGGUGGCCCUGUAUGAAGAGGGAUGUCGCGUGGUUUGUUGAGAGGUGCUUGACCUGCCGUAGGGUUAAGGCCGAGCACCAGAGGCCGCAUGGUAAGUUGCAGCCAUUGGAGGUUCCCGAAUGGAAGUGGGAACAGAUCACUAUGGAUUUCAUCACCAAAUUGCCAAGGACUGCCAGAGGAGUUGAUGCAAUUUGGGUGAUUGUGGACAGGUUGACGAAGAGCGCUCACUUCCUUGCUAUCAGCGAGAGUUCUUCAGCAGAGAAAUUGGCAGAGGUGUAUGUGAGGGAAGUGGUAUCUCGGCAUGGGGUGCCGAUCUCGAUUGUUUCAGACCGUGAUGUGCGUUUCACUUCCAGAUUCUGGAAGAAGUUUCAUGAGGAGUUGGGUACUAGACUGCAUUUUAGUACCGCAUAUCAUCCCCAGACAGACGGUCAGAGUGAGCGGACGAUUCAGACGCUCGAGGACAUGCUCCGGGCAUGUGUGUUGGAUUUCGAGGGAAGUUGGGAUGCAUAUUUGCCCUUGGCAGAGUUUUCAUACAACAACAGCCAUCAUUCGAGCAUUGGUAUGCCUCCCUUUGAGCUGUUGUAUGGGAGGAGGUGUCGGACCCCCAUUUAUUGGGGAGAGGUUGGACAACAGGUGAUGGGUAGUACAGAGAUCGUGCUUUAGACGAUAGAGCAGAUCCAGCAGGUCGGACAGAGGUUGUUGACCGCUUAGAGUCGUCAGAAGAGUUAUGCAGACAGACGUCGGUCCGAGCUUGAGUUUCAGGUCGGUGACCUUGUACUCUUGAAGGUCUCUCCUUGGAAAGGAGUGAUUUGAUUUAGGAAGAAGGGCAAGUUGGGGCCCAUAUAUAUUGGUCCAUUCCGAGUGAUCACGAGGGUAGGCCGGGUAGCCUAUCAUUUGGAUUUGCCAGCAAAGUUGGGGCAGAUUCACGACACUUUCCAUGUGUCGCAACUGCGGAAGUGUAUAGCCGAUGAGUCGGCAGUGGUUCCAUUAGAGGAUAUUCAGGUGGAUGCGAGCCUGAAUUAUGCUGAGAGACCAGUGGCAAUCAGAGAUCGGAAAAUCAAGGUUCUGAGGAACAAGGAGGUACCCUUGGUUUUGGUUCAGUGGCAACAUCGGAAGGGGUCCGAGAUGACUUGGGAGCCGGAGCGUGAGAUGCAUGAGCAGCAUCCGGAGUUAUUUGCAGAGCGAGACUUCGAGGGCGAAGUCUAGUUCUAGUGGGGGAGAAUUGUAACAGCCCGGAUUCCCAGGUAUUAUUCAUUCUUAUAUUUUUUUGGCAUUUUGUGAGGAUACUCGACGAGUUGAAGCUCAGAAUCGCCGAGUAGGAUCGCGGUUUGGACGCGGGUUCGCGCCUGGACUCAGCGAGUCCAAGGAGUGGACUCGGCGAGUCCACGCUGUUUAAUGAAACCCUAAAUCCCCGGGUUUGGAGCCUAUUUAAGGGCACUUAUAGCCUCCCAUUGCGGCUACCAGUCCCUUGAGAGAACCCUAAGAGAGCUAAUUCGUUUUGGGAGAGAAGAAGUCACUUUUGGGCCUUUGUAUUCCUUGUUUAGCAAGAAGAAGGUGGCAAGAGCAAAGAGGAGGUGAGAUUCUAGCAGAUCCAGAGUCCAGAGGCUUCAUUUUGAGGUAAUGAUUCGAAUCUCCUUCAGUUUUAGGGUUGGUCUUUAGAGUUAGGGUUUUAUAAUUCCUUUGAAGAGUGAUUAUGUGAAGCAAAUGGUCCCUCUUCGAGUUUGUGCCUUGGAUCUGGACUCAAAGAGGUCCAGAGACCUUAACCCUUGGGGCUUUUUGGGUUAUUAUGGAGUUAUUAGACCUAGGUGGUCAUUUUUGGGACCAAAUCAUCUUUUGAUGCCUUGUGGGGGUUAUACAAGCAUCAAGUUCCAAACUUUACGUGACAUUCAUGCUUGGGGAGGCUAGAUCUAUGGUUUGGGAAAGCAGAUCUGACCUCAGAAGGUCAAUAGAGUUUGUGCAUGGCAUGAACUCGCCGAGUUGUUCUUGAGACUCGGCGAGUAGGGUUGGGGUUUCACGUAAAGUGUUCAUCGAGUGGACUCGCCGGGUUGGGGGUUGACCCAGUGAGUCAGGGAGAGUCAUUAGGGGGCUGAGUCAAGCCUGAACUCGCCGAGUUGUUCUUGAGACUCGGCGAGUUGAGUCGUGGUGGCCCCGCGAUUCAUGCCAGGUGGAACUCGUCGAGUUAGGGAAGUACUCGACGUGUCAAGAGAGGAUCCUAGGGAGUCAGUGAACACGUAUAGACUCGCCGAGUCGCUCUAGUGCACUCGCCGAGUCCGGUCAAAGUUGACCGUUGACCAGAGUUGACCAGUGUUGACUUGAUAGGGGUAGUCAACCUUAGUUGUGAAAGUGUUAAUUAGAGAUAUAUUGUGUUAUAGGAGGAUUAUAGCUCGGAGGAUCGAGCGCGAGUGAUUUCCGGGAUUUGCGAGUUAUCGAGAUACGCGAGGUGAGUCUUCUCACUAUACUUUACCUUGAGUAGGUAAUCAGAGUUAUGUGACAUAGUAUUUGUAUGCUAUAUGUAUGUUCUGUGUUGUACUGCAUUAUAUCUAUGUGAUUUAUGUUGUGCAUGUUUAUAGAGUUGGAACCGGAAGGUUCCCAGAGUUAGAACCAGAGGGUUCACAGAGUAGGGUCUACGGACCCACAGAGUUAUAGCCUCGAGUGGCUAAUAUGUGUUAUGUGUGGUAUUUUGGGGAACUCACUCAGCUUUGUGCUUACAGUGUUGGUGUUAUUUAUUUCAGGUACUAGUGAUGACCGUGGGAAGGCGCCGGCUUGAUCAGUACACACACAUGGGAUUUUUAUGAUAUGUGAUCUUGGGAUACUUUGUAUGACAUGGAUUGGAGUUUCAAACAUUGAUGUUUUAUGAAAAUUAAAUGAAUAUGUUUUUAUAU
This 7208-nucleotide long non-coding RNA is filed under the name Lactuca sativa (garden lettuce). Its description in RNAcentral is "long non-coding RNA (LSAT_LNC002786)". The record is from RNAcentral. Lineage: Eukaryota; Viridiplantae; Streptophyta; Magnoliopsida; Asterales; Asteraceae.